This is a long non-coding RNA of Corapipo altera (White-ruffed manakin), 186 nucleotides long. RefSeq lists it as uncharacterized. Lineage: Eukaryota; Metazoa; Chordata; Aves; Passeriformes; Pipridae. The transcript is spliced from 3 exons. The record is from RefSeq and is a predicted model, not a curated record.
CUGCUGGCCAGGGAGCUGUGCCGUGUCUCUCGCUCCUUCUGCCGCAGCAUCGCCGUCAGCCUGCUCCCGCGGCUCAGCAGGGAAGAGCCCCUGUGGGAACUGCCUGCCCUGGCGUUCCUGGUGGAGGUCCUGCACUGCCUGAACCCCAGACAAUGUGGGCCCAGCGUCCUACAGAUAAUUUCAAGG